AUUGAACGCUGGCGGCAGGCCUAACACAUGCAAGUCGAGCGGAGCGGCGGACGGGUGAGUAAUGCCUAGGAAUCUGCCUGGUAGUGGGGGAUAACGUCCGGAAACGGGCGCUAAUACCGCAUACUAUCAGAUGAGCCUAGGUCGGAUUAGCUAGUUGGUGGGGUAAAGGCCUACCAAGGCGACGAUCCGUAACUGGUCUGAGAGGAUGAUCAGUCAGACGGGCACUGAGACACGGUCCAGAUACCUGCGGGAGGCAGCAGUGGGGAAUAGGGGACAAUGGGCGAAAGCCUGACCCAGCCAUGCCGCGUGGGUGAAGAAGGUCUUCGGAUUGUAAAGAACUUUAAGUUGGGAGGCGUUACCAACAGAAUAAGCACCGGCUAACGUCGGGCCAGCAGCCGCGGUAAUUC
RNAcentral lists this ribosomal RNA (407 nucleotides) under uncultured bacterium. RNAcentral describes it as "partial 16S ribosomal RNA". It matches the Rfam family "Bacterial small subunit ribosomal RNA", at positions 29 to 526 of the family's 1533-position model. The record is from RNAcentral.